AAGACACUAGUAAAACCAUAAUACUGCCUUGUCAAGACAGAGUCGUGGGUUAAAUCCCCACGUGUCUUA
Molecule: transfer RNA, 69 nt
Filed under: Percopsis transmontana (sand roller)
Lineage: Eukaryota; Metazoa; Chordata; Actinopteri; Percopsiformes; Percopsidae
Description: tRNA-Asp
Rfam family: tRNA
About the family: Transfer RNA (tRNA) molecules are approximately 80 nucleotides in length.
Source: RNAcentral